This 490-nucleotide ribosomal RNA is filed under the name uncultured bacterium. RNAcentral describes it as "partial 16S ribosomal RNA". It matches the Rfam family "Bacterial small subunit ribosomal RNA", at positions 28 to 507 of the family's 1533-position model. The record is from RNAcentral.
GAUGAACGCUAGCUACAGGCUUAACACAUGCAAGUCGCAGGGUAACAUGAGGACAGCUUGCUUUCCUUGAUGACGACUGGCGCACGGGUGAGUAACGCGUAUCCAACCUUCCCAUAACUACGGGAUAACCCGUUGAAAGACGGCCUAAUACCGUAUGAUAUCGUUUGCUGACAUCAAAUAACGAUUAAAGGUUUAGCGGUUAUGGAUGGGGAUGCGUCUGAUUAGCUUGUUGGCGGGGUAACGGCCCACCAAGGCGACGAUCAGUAGGGGUUCUGAGAGGAAGGUCCCCCACAGUGGAACUGAGACACGGUCCAAACGCCUACGGGAGGCAGCAGUGAGGAAGAUUGGUCAAUGGGCGAGAGCCUGAACCAGCCAAGUAGCGUGCAGGACGACGGCCCUAGGGGUUGUAAACUGCUUUUAGGUGGGGAUAAAGUGCGUGACGUGUCAUGCAUUGCAGGUACCACAUGAAUAAGGACCGGCUAAUUCCGUG